This 699-nucleotide ribosomal RNA is filed under the name Serratia sp. (in: enterobacteria). RNAcentral's name for it is "bacterial SSU rRNA". It matches the Rfam family "Bacterial small subunit ribosomal RNA", at positions 50 to 738 of the family's 1533-position model. Lineage: Bacteria; Pseudomonadati; Pseudomonadota; Gammaproteobacteria; Enterobacterales; Yersiniaceae. The record is from RNAcentral.
AACACAUGCAAGUCGAGCGGUAGCACAGGGGAGCUUGCUCCCUGGGUGACGAGCGGCGGACGGGUGAGUAAUGUCUGGGAAACUGCCUGAUGGAGGGGGAUAACUACUGGAAACGGUAGCUAAUACCGCAUAACGUCGCAAGACCAAAGAGGGGGACCUUCGGGCCUCUUGCCAUCAGAUGUGCCCAGAUGGGAUUAGCUAGUAGGUGGGGUAAUGGCUCACCUAGGCGACGAUCCCUAGCUGGUCUGAGAGGAUGACCAGCCACACUGGAACUGAGACACGGUCCAGACUCCUACGGGAGGCAGCAGUGGGGAAUAUUGCACAAUGGGCGCAAGCCUGAUGCAGCCAUGCCGCGUGUGUGAAGAAGGCCUUCGGGUUGUAAAGCACUUUCAGCGAGGAGGAAGGUGGUGAACUUAAUACGUUCAUCAAUUGACGUUACUCGCAGAAGAAGCACCGGCUAACUCCGUGCCAGCAGCCGCGGUAAUACGGAGGGUGCAAGCGUUAAUCGGAAUUACUGGGCGUAAAGCGCACGCAGGCGGUUUGUUAAGUCAGAUGUGAAAUCCCCGGGCUCAACCUGGGAACUGCAUUUGAAACUGGCAAGCUAGAGUCUCGUAGAGGGGGGUAGAAUUCCAGGUGUAGCGGUGAAAUGCGUAGAGAUCUGGAGGAAUACCGGUGGCGAAGGCGGCCCCCUGGACGAAG